Lagopus muta (rock ptarmigan) is the source of this 1090-nucleotide long non-coding RNA. RefSeq lists it as uncharacterized. The transcript has 3 exons. Lineage: Eukaryota; Metazoa; Chordata; Aves; Galliformes; Phasianidae. The record is from RefSeq and is a predicted model, not a curated record.
CCUUCUCAAAGCCCCUGUGCUCUGCUGCUGUGGGGGCUUUAUGCUUUGGAUUGCUUAUUCGCUUGCAGGGACAUUGCGGUUCUGCAUCAACACCACUAAAGACAUUACAGAGCUCGAUGAAAGCAUUUUGCAUUGCUGCUUGUAAUGAAAGAGGAAAGGAGCUUUCUCCACCUUCUGACCCCCCUCUCUCAAGCACCAAUGCAAAGGAGGAUUUAUUGUUUCAUGAGCAGCGUGAUCAUGCUUUACAGGAAGGGGUCUUUCUGAAGGUUACUACAAUUAGCAGUGGCAACAGGCUCCAACAUCAUCAUUAGCAACAGUUCCUGACUUGUUAUGACUCUGAAAUGGCGCAGGCAUCAUUAAUGGCACACUGAAAACUGGUCUGGAUGAUGUGUUUUUGCGUGACCUAAUCUAGGUAUUUCUGCUCUGGCAGAAGGAUUGGACUAAAUGAUCUUUAGAGGCUCCUUCCAAUCUCUGACAUUCUGUGAUUCUUGACAAUAUGGAAGCACCUGAGCCAUGACUGCACAUGCCGGAAUGCAGUGAGCCACAUGCCACAGCACCUCAGACUCUUCUGCUGCUUCUACUCUCACUGAAGAUGAGUACUAUCCUCACCUGUAUUUCAGCACUGGUAACACUAUUACUGCCUUUGGCUUUGCUUUUCAGGACGUAUUUUGUGUGUACACGUCCCUGUACUAAGUCACUAUACAUUCUUCAUGGAGGAAUUCAGUUUCACCACUUUGCAUCAGACACUCUUCCAUGUCAGAAGCUAUUUUGUUGGACUGCCAUCUGUUUCAUGGCAACAAUGUGUAAUGGAAUAUUGUUGAGUAAGGUUCAGCCUCUACUGCCAUACCACCAUCAUCUGCCUCAUAUGUUGUGGGCCAACAUCAUAAAACAGGAAGCAUUACUUUCAGAGCAUCCUUUGUAUAAAAUAUAAUAUAGUUAAUGUACAUAAGUACCCAAACUUAUUUUAACUUUUAAUAUUUUUAGUAAAAAAAAUAACAGCAACAAAUCCAUAAAACUACAGGGAUAUUUGACCUUGUUUUUCUGAAGUUGGUGCAUCAGACUAGUUUGAAGGUAGAGGGCACAAUUCUUA